This 820-nucleotide long non-coding RNA is filed under the name Homo sapiens (human). RNAcentral describes it as "long non-coding RNA NONHSAT219661.1". Lineage: Eukaryota; Metazoa; Chordata; Mammalia; Primates; Hominidae. The record is from RNAcentral.
GCACCGCAUCAGCCUGCUCAACCCUUUAAAUUUACAAUUUCCGAAUCCUGUGAUCGGAUUAAGGAAGAGUUUCAGUUUUUACAGGCUCAAUACCACAGUCUGAAGCUGGAAUGUGAGAAACUCGCCAGUGAGAAGACAGAGAUGCAGCGGCAUUAUGUCAUGUAUUAUGAAAUGUCCUAUGGGUUGAAUAUAGAAAUGCACAAGCAGGUAAGUUAUUUCUUUAUAACCAUUUUAAAUGACAGUAAUACUGGGACACUAUGAAAAGAAAAUUGUAUGUUUUGCAGUUUUAUUCUGCAAGCCGUUGUGGCUACCUGUAUUUAAAAGUCUGGGUAGUGAAGAAAAUGCUGUUUUUUCAUGUGUGGCUCCCCAUCUUUCUUUCAUAUUAUCCUAAUUUUUAUAAUUUAAAAAUGUUAUUUUAAAAAGUCUGAAUACAUAUUAAACUCUGUACACUUUCAAAAGCAGGAUGCUAAAUUUUAAAAUCCUCUUGUUAUUCUUCUGAAAGAGUUGCUUUAUGUAUUUUGGGCAUUGCAAACUUGUCUUGUGAAAGAGCUUUUCUUGGAAAAUAUUAAACAGUAAAAUUAAAUUGUGUGGCGCCUUCGUUGGCUUGAUGUGAAAGAAUGGAUAGAGGGUGAGCUGGGAGGAUGAAAAUGAAAUCUGUGGAGCUACAAAAGAAAUUGAUGUAAAAUCCUUGUACUGGUCCCCUGAGGCUACUUAGUUGGGUCUUACCAAGAACUAUAACCGUUACUUCCAAAAUUUGUACAGAGUAAAUGAGCCUGAUAGGAGGAUGUGAUAAGGUUCAACAUUGGGUCUUGAAAUCUAG